GGGGAAUAUUGGUCAAUGGGCGCAAGCCUGAUCCAGCAAUGCCGCGUGGAUGAAGAAGGUCUUCGGAUUGUAAAGUCCUCUCGGCGGGGACGAUGAUGACGGUACCCGCAGAAGAAGCCCCGGCUAACUUCGUGCCAGCAGCCGCGGUAAUACGAAGGGGGCUAGCGUUACUCGGAAUUACUGGGCGUAAAGGGCGCGUAGGCGGCGACGACAGUCAGGCGUGAAAUUCCUGGGCUUAACCUGGGGGCUGCGCUUGAUACAUCAUUGCUAGAGGACGGAAGAGGGUCGUGGAAUUCCCAGUGUAGAGGUGAAAUUCGUAGAUAUUGGGAAGAACACCGGUGGCGAAGGCGGCGACCUGGUCCGUUACUGACGCUGAGGCGCGACAGCGUGGGGAGCAAAC
This 400-nucleotide ribosomal RNA is filed under the name uncultured bacterium. Its description in RNAcentral is "bacterial SSU rRNA". It matches the Rfam family "Bacterial small subunit ribosomal RNA", at positions 356 to 773 of the family's 1533-position model. The record is from RNAcentral.